This 61-nucleotide ribosomal RNA is filed under the name Xerocomellus sp. 3 JF-2015. RNAcentral's name for it is "partial 28S ribosomal RNA". The record is from RNAcentral. Lineage: Eukaryota; Fungi; Basidiomycota; Agaricomycetes; Boletales; Boletaceae.
ACUUGGACUUUCGAGCGACGCUUUAGCUACUAGUCGGUCGCAAGACCGACGAACGCGCGCU